Long non-coding RNA from Aethalodelphis obliquidens (Pacific white-sided dolphin), 138 nucleotides. RefSeq lists it as uncharacterized. The transcript has 3 exons. The record is from RefSeq and is a predicted model, not a curated record. Lineage: Eukaryota; Metazoa; Chordata; Mammalia; Artiodactyla; Delphinidae.
UGGCCAUCCUGCAUCCAGCACGUAUAUCAGUGCCGUUUUUCCAACAGCGUUGGCUCAUUUUGUGUCUCUGGGUCACAUUUUGGUAAUUCUCACAAUAUUUCAAACUUUUCAUUAUUAUUAUGUUUUUCAGAAAUCUAU